CCAGACUCCUACGGAGGCAGCAGUGGGGAAUCUUCCGCAAUGGACGAAAGUCUGACGGAGCAACGCCGCGUGAGUGAUGACGGCCUUCGGGUUGUAAAGCUCUGUUAAUCGGGACGAAAGGCCUUCUUGCGAAUAGUGAGAAGGAUUGACGGUACCGGAAUAGAAAGCCACGGCUAACUACGUGCCAGCAGCCGCGGUAAUACGUAGGUGGCAAGCGUUGUCCGGAAUUAUUGGGCGUAAAGCGCGCGCAGGCGGAUAGGUCAGUCUGUCUUAAAAGUUCGGGGCUUAACCCCGUGAUGGGAUGGAAACUGCCAAUCUAGAGUAUCGGAGAGGAAAGUGGAAUUCCUAGUGUAGCGGUGAAAUGCGUAGAUAUUAGGAAGAACACCAGUGGCGAAGGCGACUUUCUGGACGAAAACUGACGCUGAGGCGCGAAAGCCAGGGGAGCGAACGGGAUUAGAUACCCCGGUAGUCCUGGCCGUAAACGAUGGGUACUAGGUGUAGGAGGUAUCGACCCCUUCUGUGCCGGAGUUAACGCAAUAAGUACCCCGCCUGGGGAGUACGACCGCAAGGUUGAAACUCAAAGGAAUUGACGGGGGCCCGCACAAGAAGGGCGAAUUC
RNAcentral lists this ribosomal RNA (618 nucleotides) under uncultured bacterium. Its description in RNAcentral is "bacterial SSU rRNA". It matches the Rfam family "Bacterial small subunit ribosomal RNA", at positions 331 to 941 of the family's 1533-position model. The record is from RNAcentral.